GCCCUUAGAGUUUGAUCCUGGCUCAGAAUCAACGCUGGCGGCGUGCCUCAGACAUGCAAGUCGAACGAGAACGUUCUCUUCGGAGAACUAUUAAAGUGGCGUACGGGUGAGUAACACGUAAGUAAUCUACCUUUGAGUGGGGAAUAACUUAGGGAAACCUAGGCUAAUACCGCAUAAUGCAAUUCUUUCUAUGAUUGAGUUGUUAAAGAAUUUAUUCGCUUAAAGAGGAGCUUGCGGCAGAUUAGCUAGUUGGUAAGGUAAUGGCUUACCAAGGCGACGAUCUGUAGCCGACCUGAGAGGGUGGUCGGUCACACUGACACUGAAUAACGGGUCAGUCUCCCACGGCAGGCAGCAGUCGGGAAUUUUGGGCAAUGGGCGAAAGCCUGACCCAGCAACGCCGCGUGAAGGAUGAAGUCUUUCGGGAUGUAAUCUUCGGAACUAUAGGAAGAAUAAAUGACGGUACUAUAUCUAAGGUCCGGCUAACUACGUGCCAGCAGCCGCGGUAAUAAGGGCG
Molecule: ribosomal RNA, 514 nt
Filed under: uncultured bacterium
Lineage: Bacteria
Description: bacterial SSU rRNA
Rfam family: Bacterial small subunit ribosomal RNA
Source: RNAcentral